GCAAUACGUCAGGAUUAGUUGCGGCGGAAGUUUGCAAGAAAUCCUCAUCACCACUGUAGCGAGUUUGUGCUGCUGCAUUUUUCCUGUUUUUGAUGUCGGGCUACUUGAUGACUGUUGAGGUAGAUACUGUGACGUGAAACCAUGAGGCUGCUGCUCCGAGACGGGAGGGUGACCUCAGCCUCGUUAUCCUCGUCCACGCAAUUCUGCUGGGAUGCGGGUUGUGGAUACGUCUGGGCCUGGGCACCUUUAAAAGAGAAGCCGAGUGGAUGGAGAUACUGAAGCAGCUACAGAAGGAAGUGGGUGAAUUAAGAGAGACAUAUAAAGUACAGCACCAUCUUUCAGAAUCACUUCCUGAUGACAAACAGACAUGAAGUUCAGAAUGAGUCUCUAUACUCUCAUCAGUAACACAGAUGCAGACAAACACCUGUAAACUACUCCAACACUUGCUCUUUUACACUUACUUGUGCUAGUUUGUGUUAUAUAGACUAAAAUUGCUCAAAUUUACAGGGUCGUCCCAGACAAAAGCAUAUUCUGAAGGAUUAAAUGUUACUAUAUCUAAACAUUAGAUACAGACACUCAAACACAGAACAAAAUAAUAAUCUAACUGUCAUAGUUGUUCAGUUUAGUGUUUUCAUGGACUUUCGGUUUGUUGUCAUUUGUCACGUGUCCAAAGUUACUGUCAUUAUUAGUUUAUAUGUCAGCUGUGUUCUAUUAAUUAUCCUCAUUUGUGUUUGCUACUUAAGUUCCUCCUGUUCACUCUGUCUUUGUCCGAUAACUGUUAUGUAUAGUGUGUGUUGUGCCUGCCUGUUUGCAUGCCUAUUAAGGAAUAUUGUUAU
This is a long non-coding RNA of Megalobrama amblycephala (Wuchang bream), 836 nucleotides long. RefSeq lists it as uncharacterized. The transcript is spliced from 3 exons. The record is from RefSeq and is a predicted model, not a curated record. Lineage: Eukaryota; Metazoa; Chordata; Actinopteri; Cypriniformes; Xenocyprididae.